This 2057-nucleotide long non-coding RNA is filed under the name Marmota monax (woodchuck). Lineage: Eukaryota; Metazoa; Chordata; Mammalia; Rodentia; Sciuridae. The record is from RNAcentral.
AAAGAAGCCAUUGUAGACUAGAUAUUUAUUACAAAGAGGUCUUUUACCUAACAAACCACACAAGAAUGCAACAAAAAUUCUGCCAACAUUUUUGGCUUCUCUGCUUAAAAGAGCAACUCAUUUUGACUAACAAUACUUUUAAAACUUGAAGUCUCUUAAGAAGUCAUCCAAAUUUUUCUAGCAAAUAUUCAAUUGGUUUGCCUCAAGUGUUGCCUUAUUCACUAAAUCUAAAGUAAAGUGUCAGAUUAAAAGUAUUUAUUCUUUGCUGAUACUUAAGCUGAAAGUUUACUAAAAAUCACACCUACCCUAAUACCAAAAAAUAACAUAUUAAGCUAUCCCGGGUUCACAGUAAGCUCUUAUAUUUGCCAAGUUGAACAUGUACAUUCAAAUGUCACGUAUGAGCAAAUAGCAGCUGGGAAUCAUAAUCAUAUAUGUCACUUAGAUGAAAACAAUUGCCUUUUUCCUACUCUGGCAAUAUUUCAAAGAAAUUCAAAAUACUAUCCUGAAAAGACAUGCAUUUAUUUUGAUAGAAGAGAACUUUCAGUUCUUUCUUUCCGACUUUUGGAAUUGUAAAGAGCCCUUUUAUAAUGGCAAGUUAGCUCAAAGAAAUAAUAAUAACCUCAAAGAAAGGAGCAAAUUUACCACUUAGCUUGCUCUCUAAGAGUGUGCACUUAACAGUUACCUUACCUUCAAGUUAAUAGAUAUAAUUUAUAAAUGACAAAAAUUGCCCUUGUCUUCAGAUCACUGAUAAAAAUUAUAGUCUUUAUAAACAUAGCAUAUAAUUUUGACUGAGAGGGAAAUCUUUCUUGUGUAUAUUUUCAGCAGUGUGUUCCAAAUCUAAAUUCAAUCAUUUCUAUUUUUUGAUGCUAAAUGUAAUCAGCAGAUAGCUGAAAUAUUUUUUGCAACCCUCAGCCAUAUAUUUAUUGUAACAGGGAUUACAAUUGUGUGCUGGGUCAUUUAUCUAUAUUUUUUUUUCCUUUGGGGGUUCAUUGUUGCUUUUCUUUGUCCCAUCACUGUUUCCUUUGUGACAAAGUGCUAAUUAUUCAUGAAAGGUAGAAGAGUAAAGAAGACAAUAGAAAAAAAAACUAGAAUAAUACUAUGCAUUUUGUUCCAAAUGAAAAACCAAUGUAAUAACCUGUAUUUGGUUUCUGAAGUAUAAAAUAGUAUCUUACAAAUGAAAGAUAUUGUUAAAUCUCUUCACAAUGAAUUUUGCUCCCAUUUUUGUUUUUAAAUAAUUUCAAAGAUAACAUAUUUUAGAGAGCAAGGUAAGACAGAAUAGCAAGACCUAAAACAAAACAUGAAAAAAAUGCAUGACCUCUCUCAAGUAAAAUUCAAAUCUAAUUCAAAGAAUCACCUUUCAUUUUGCCUUCUAAAUAUGCCUAGCAUUUGAAAUCAUAACAUUUCUCACCAAUGUGAUAUUGUGGAGAUGAUUCCUUAUCAAAAGUGAAAGUGUUGCAUCUAUAAAGCAGCCAAUUUGUUUUUUAUAACUGUGAUAUAUGUGACAAACCAAAUAUUUGUUUUUCAUUUAAAAGUCAAGAGUAUGGAUAGUCAGCUUCAGUGAUUUUUGUUAUCAGAUCCACAAAACAAUACAUUUCUUAUUGGAGCUUUGCAAAUAUACACAAACAGGACAGUCAAUAACUUCUGUAGAGUUCAGUUGCCCACAAGUAUAGAUGGAUCCAUCUGGUCAUUGAACAACAGAUCACUUUGUCUAUGCCAAGAAUCUGCUCUGUAAAUAUAAUAUUUCAGAUGUUACAAAAAAAACAAGGGACCAACAUUUUAGAUAAUUUUGUUAUAAAAAAGAGAAUCAGAAGAUAUUAGAAAAAGAAAGGACUGAUAUUUCAGACCAUGUCUUUCAACCCCCUUCAUUUAUGGACAGAAAGCUAUGAAAAAAGAAUAGCUCAUAAUAGAAAAAAAAAUUAGGGAUACUACUGAGACAAAAACUCAGAAUGCAGUCCAGUAUAUUUGAGCCUUUGGGAGCUUCUAAAGGACAUGAUGGUUUGUGGAGUACUUGUUUCAUGUUCUGCAAUCACUAUUGUAUACCUUUUCAAAUAGUCCCC